GCAGGAGGGCCUGGGAUGUUUGAGAAAAGUGGCUGAACGCGCACGUGCGCCUAGAAGCAAGUCAGUAAGCGGUACUACUCCACAGUUUCUGCUUCGGUUCACACCUUGAGUUCCUGCCCUGAUUUUCUUCCAUCAGUGAUGAAUUGCUACCUGGAGGCUGCAACCACCAAGGGAAGCCUGAGAAACUAUCACACCCAGGAGAAACCUACGGGCAGCUGAGGAUCCCACAGGGCGGGGCACCCUGCCAGGGAUCCGGAGCAGAGGACAGAGAUCAAGAGAAAAACUUAGGAAAGAUGAGCAGAGGUGUGAUCUCCCUCAAGGGUUGUACAGAGAAGCAGAUACUUCCAAGUCAAGCCAGGUUCUGAGAUUUGAAACUGCCGUCAGCUGCCCCAAGCCACAAGAUUUGUGAUGGAGUACGAAUUCCAGGAAUGCCCUCGGGCUGAGUGGAACGCCCUGUGCCUCCUAGGCAUGAGCUGAAAGAUGAACAGCUGAGGGAGUGAGGUCCAUUCUUCCAAACUCCACAAGUUCACAGAAGCACUGUCUGCCGAAGGGCGUGGAUAUGGGUCAGGCUGAAAGGAAAAAGAAAGUGAACUGAGAAAUGGUGUCGCUGGCUUUACUGGUGUAAGAUAAUGAAUGCAUCAAUAAGGAGGGACCCGGUGACCCUGUGAGUCCCGGGAAUUGACCUCUAGAACACACACUGCCCUUGUGAAGUCUCCAUGCAGCAGGACCCACAUUGUGUCAAGGAAGGCACUGGGGCCGGUCGCAUAACAAAGAAUCACCUCACAGCACUCUGGUGACUGCUGACUGACUGCCACACUUCCUGUCUUCCUAAAUGGACUUCUUCAUCAAAGCAGGCAAUCAGAAAAGGCCUCAUAAAAAGACUCGCAGUGCCCUUAGCAAGCCGGCCCCACUUUCAGUCAGCUCAAUUAUUCAAGAGGGGGUAAGUCGCCUCUUCCUCGAAUUGACCUUUCCACCAGGAACCCUGUUUAAUUUUUUAAUUGUCUUUAAAAUGACUGUAAUUUUACAAAAUGAGCUGUGAUUUCCGGAUAAAAGCUCUAAGCCAGAUCUAAAGCAAAAUAACAACUUCAAAUAUUUACUGUUCUGUCACUGAACGGUUAAAAUCUAUUUGGAUUUGUUUCCUUCCACUGUAACUUAAGCUAAGAGGUGAAGCAUCUGGGUUCUCUGGUCUGCAGGUCCAAGCCCAGACUGAGUGUCCCAGCCCACGGGCAGAGCACUUGACCUCUGAGUUUAUAGGAAGAAAGGACAGGGAUGACCUACCCCAUGGCACUGGUGGGAGAUUAGAUAAUCAAUAAUUGUUGAGCACUUUGAACAUGUAAGGUGCCGAAGCCCUGCUGGGGAGUGACUAAUGCUUCCCCAGAAAUUAGAGCUAGCAAAGAUAAUCACUUUUGAUCUAAGAAGGUGGAGAAUAAUCUAGAAAGACGCUCUUCUGUUAGAUUCAUUUAAAUCAUAAAGGGGAAUAUGCUUUGAUCCUAUUGUGGGAUCUAACAAUAGGAACUUUCCAUUUUAGUUCAGCGAAGAUGAACUCAUAGAAACCCCUAGAAAGAAAGAGACAGAAUUAUUAUUUAAGGAUUUUCCCCCCCAAGUCUGAAAUGGCCUGGGGAAAACUCCAUUCUAAAUCACGUGCCUUCUGUUGGGUUGGUCUAACAUCACAAAUAUAAAAAAGUGACAUUUCCACAAAAACAAUAUAAAAAUCACUGUUGUUUUCUACCCUUUGAAUAUUCUGAAGUUGUUUUAGAAAUCUUUGCAUGAGCAGCUGUACUCCUGUUCUAAAUAUUUGGCAAGGCAUUCCUCCUCAUAAUAUAUAAAAAGAACACUCAAAUUUGAAAGUGCACAGACAUAGGAAAAAGGCAAAUCUAUCGACAGUGAGACCGGGAGUCUAAUUGUAGCCGACGGCACUCAAAGGAACGUUGGUCUAAUCAGCUCACAGCCUCCAAAGCACGUUAAGGUUUUCGCUAACCUAAUUAAGCAUCGUAUUCAUCUACACCUCUUAGUGAUGUGGGUGGGAAAAUAAGUUUACAUGGCCUUGCCCAAAAAUAAUGAUGCUUGCAAGUUUUGGAAUAUUCUCUAAGAGAACACACUCGUUGGUCCUUAUGCUAAGAACCGUGGAAAAACAUCUAACUUCCUUCUCUAAUUGGUGUUUUGUAAGAUAUAUAAAACGGUCCUCAAAUGGGGAUUCACGGCAUCAUAUUCUGAGCACAAAGAGUCCCUGUGUCUGAGUCUCUGCUGACAUGGCUAAUGUCAAAAAGUGUAACCCUGAGUGACCCUCACUGUGUCGAGCAGCCAUGCCAGGGCUUCACAGAGCCGAACACGCAUGCUGUGCUUCCGUCCAUCAGCUGGGAGUCUUUCACAAUUAGAGACGUUAAUUCAGGUGUGAUAUGCUAAAGUGAACUGUGGCUAUCACAAGCGUGUAAGAACCUAGUCUCCUAGCCCGCAGCAGCUUCCCACCUCCUCUGGCCAGCCCUGUGAGGUUUAGAAGAAAAGAAACCAAUGAUUGUAAGUCUCAGCAUAGGCCAGGUGCCCAGCAGGAAUUGUCUAACUUGAUCGUAACCACAGUCGGAUGAAGAGACGCGGACCAGGCUUUAUGAAUGAGAAACUCCAGAUGUAGACGGUCCACAUGUCCACACGGGCCCCCUUCUCCCCACCACACUUCCUGUUCCUCCCCAUGCUGCCUCCUUUGUGGGAGCGACUUUUGGUUUUGUUUUAAAUUAUAUCACAGUCAUUAGAGUCCAAGACCCAUGCAGCCACCUCCCAUUCUCUGCCACUUUAUUUACGUGAGAUUAACCUCCGUGUCUGAAUAUGUUAAGUGGGCUAUGAUAGAAAUAAAUCAUUCAUACGUCUAAGUAAUUUUAUU
Molecule: long non-coding RNA, 2872 nt
Filed under: Mus musculus (house mouse)
Lineage: Eukaryota; Metazoa; Chordata; Mammalia; Rodentia; Muridae
Description: predicted gene, 31503
Source: RNAcentral